GGUGCUGGCCGUGGCCGUGGCCGUGGCCGGGGGGCUCUCGGCCGGGCUGGUGACCCUGCGGCUCACCACGGACCCCGUGGAGCUGUGGUCGGCCCCGGAGAGCCGCGCCCGGCAGGAGAAGGAGUUCCACGACCGCCACUUCGGGCCCUUCCUGCGCACCAACCAGGUGAUCGUGACGGCGCCGGGGCGCCCCGGCCUCACCUACGACUCGGUGCUGUUCGGCUCCAGGAAUUUCAGCGGGGUCCUGGCCGAGGACGUGCUGCGGGCGCUGCUGGAGCUGCAGGAGACGCUGGCGGCCACCACGGCCUGGGCAGAGGGCUCGGGCAGGAACGUGAGCCUGCAGGAUGUGUGCUACGCGCCGCUGAACCCCGGGCAGCCCGGCGUGGGGGACUGCGCCGUGUCCAGCGUCACGCAGUACUUCCAGAACAACCGCAGCCGCCUGGAGCUCACCGCCCCCGAGGAGGACGGCAAGGAGCGGGGCACGGUGGACUGGCACGAUCACCUCAUCUACUGCGUCAACUCCCCGCUCUCGUUCAAGGACAUCACGGCGCUGGAGCUGAGCUGCAUGGCCGAGUACGGCGGGCCCGUCUUCCCCUACAUCGCCCUGGGCGGCUACCGCGAGUCGGAGUACACGGAGGCCGAGGCGCUGAUCGUCACCUACUCGCUGAACAACUUCCCGCGGGGGGACCCGCGCCUCGAGUGGGCGCUGAGCUGGGAGCGCCGCUUCCUCCAGGUGGUGCGCGACUUCCAGCGCCAGCACCGCCACAACCUCUCGGUCACCUUCAUGGCCGAGGUGCGGCCCCUGCUGUCACCUGUGUCCCCUCUGUGUCCCCUCUGUGCCCUCCGUGUCCCCUCUGUGCCCUCCGUGUCCAUUCCGUGCCCCCAGGUCCCCGCUGUCACCUGUGUCCCCUCCGUGUCCCCCUGUCCCCCAAUGUCCCCAUGUCCCUUCCGUGCCUUCCAUGUCCCCGUGUCCCCAAUGUCCCCGGUGUUCCCGUGUCCCCCAGUGUCUCCGUGUCCCCAAUGUCCCCGGUGUUCCUGUCCCUUCCAUGUCCCCGUGUCCCCUCCAUGUCCCCGUGUCCCCAAUGUCCCCAGUGUUCCCGUGUCCCCGUGU
Molecule: long non-coding RNA, 1111 nt
Filed under: Parus major (Great Tit)
Lineage: Eukaryota; Metazoa; Chordata; Aves; Passeriformes; Paridae
Description: lncRNA (ENSPMJG00000003552.1)
Source: RNAcentral